Molecule: ribosomal RNA, 694 nt
Filed under: Nonomuraea sp.
Lineage: Bacteria; Bacillati; Actinomycetota; Actinomycetes; Streptosporangiales; Streptosporangiaceae
Description: bacterial SSU rRNA
Rfam family: Bacterial small subunit ribosomal RNA
Source: RNAcentral
ACUCGAGCGGCGAACGGGUGAGUAACACGUGAGCAACCUGCCCCUGACUCUGGGAUAAGCCCGGGAAACUGGGUCUAAUACCGGAUACGACCGCCCCCGGCAUCGGGUGGUGGUGGAAAGUUUUUCGGUUGGGGAUGGGCUCGCGGCCUAUCAGCUUGUUGGUGGGGUAGUGGCCUACCAAGGCGACGACGGGUAGCCGGCCUGAGAGGGCGACCGGCCACACUGGGACUGAGACACGGCCCAGACUCCUACGGGAGGCAGCAGUGGGGAAUAUUGCGCAAUGGGCGAAAGCCUGACGCAGCGACGCCGCGUGGGGGAUGACGGCCUUCGGGUUGUAAACCUCUUUCAGCAGGGACGAAGUUGACGUGUACCUGCAGAAGAAGCGCCGGCUAACUACGUGCCAGCAGCCGCGGUAAUACGUAGGGCGCAAGCGUUGUCCGGAAUUAUUGGGCGUAAAGAGCUCGUAGGUGGCUUGUCGCGUCGGAUGUGAAAGCCCGCAGCUUAACUGCGGGUCUGCAUUUGAUACGGGCAGGCUAGAGGUAGGUAGGGGAGAACGGAAUUCCUGGUGUAGCGGUGAAAUGCGCAGAUAUCAGGAGGAACACCGGUGGCGAAGGCGGUUCUCUGGGCCUUACCUGACGCUGAGGAGCGAAAGCGUGGGGAGCGAACAGGAUUAGAUACCCUGGUAGUCCACGCU